UCGGCUUGCAGCAAUUUUCAAAUAAAUAAUGCUGAUGCGAUUUAUAUAUAUUCUAUCUAGACCUAGCAAGCAGACGGGUUUAGUAACCGUGGACGGGUUAUUAUAACUGCGGGUCACAUGGACAUAGGUAAAAUUUAUCCGUAAAUUUUUGGACAGUCAACAUCAUUACACAGUAUGAAAAUAUUUUAUCAUUCCAAAUUUUCAUUAUACAAAAUUAAUAAAAAUUUUCAUGAUUAUAAAGUUAAUAUCAUAAAGAUAAUAUAUUUAUUAAUUAAAAAAAUAUAUGCUAAUAUAUGUGGGUACCCAUUGGAUUAUCUAAAAUGCCAACAACUUAAGCGAUACCCAUAUAUUUUACCCAUAAUUUUUUGAAUAAGAAAAACUAAUAUUCAUAUAUACCUGCAAAUUUAUAGGUAACCUGUGGGCACCUGCAGUAUGAAUAGAGAUUACUAGUCUAAU
This 456-nucleotide long non-coding RNA is filed under the name Ananas comosus (pineapple). RNAcentral describes it as "long non-coding RNA (ACOM_LNC023491)". Lineage: Eukaryota; Viridiplantae; Streptophyta; Magnoliopsida; Poales; Bromeliaceae. The record is from RNAcentral.